GGUCCGGUAUCUUAAUAGGCAGAGUCACCCGCUCAUAACGGGUUGUGUGUAGGUUCAAAUCCUAUCCGGACCA
Molecule: transfer RNA, 73 nt
Filed under: Calditrichota bacterium
Lineage: Bacteria; Pseudomonadati; Calditrichota
Description: Calditrichaeota bacterium (activated sludge metagenome) tRNA-Met
Rfam family: tRNA
About the family: Transfer RNA (tRNA) molecules are approximately 80 nucleotides in length.
Source: RNAcentral